RNAcentral lists this ribosomal RNA (50 nucleotides) under Agaricostilbomycetes sp. TY-209. RNAcentral describes it as "partial 26S ribosomal RNA". Lineage: Eukaryota; Fungi; Basidiomycota; Agaricostilbomycetes. The record is from RNAcentral.
CUUUAGACCUCAAAUCAGUCAGGACUMCCCGCUGAACUUAAGCAUAUCAA